GACGAACGCUGGCGGCGUGCCUAAUACAUGCAAGUCGAGCGAGCGGAACCAACAGAUUUACUUCGGUAAUGACGUUGGGAAAGCGAGCGGCGGAUGGGUGAGUAACACGUGGGGAACCUGCCCCUAAGUCUGGGAUACCUUUUGGAAACAGGUGCUAAUACCGGAUAAUAAAGCAGAUCGCAUGAUCAGCUUUUGAAAGGCGGCGUAAGCUGUCGCUAAGGGAUGGCCCCGCGGUGCAUUAGCUAGUUGGUAAGGUAACGGCUUACCAAGGCGACGAUGCAUAGCCGAGUUGAGAGACUGAUCGGCCACAUUGGGACUGAGACACGGCCCAAACUCCUACGGGAGGCAGCAGUAGGGAAUCUUCCACAAUGGAGGAAACUCUGAUGCAGCGAUGCCGCGUGAGUGAAGAAGGCC
RNAcentral lists this ribosomal RNA (414 nucleotides) under uncultured Lactobacillus sp. RNAcentral describes it as "bacterial SSU rRNA". It matches the Rfam family "Bacterial small subunit ribosomal RNA", at positions 28 to 416 of the family's 1533-position model. The record is from RNAcentral. Lineage: Bacteria; Bacillati; Bacillota; Bacilli; Lactobacillales; Lactobacillaceae.